AGUAAUGCUUGGGAAUCUGGCUUAUGGAGGGGGAUAACUGUGGGAAACUGCAGCUAAUACCGCGUAUAAUCGAGAGAUGAAAGGGUGGGACCGUAAGGCCACUUGCCAUAAGAUGAGCCCAAGUGGGAUUAGGUAGUUGGUGGGGUAAAGGCCUACCAAGCCUGCGAUCUCUAGCUGGUCUGAGAGGAUGGCCAGCCACACUGGGACUGAGACACGGCCCAGACUCCUACGGGAGGCAGCAGUGGGGAAUAUUGCGCAAUGGGGGGAACCCUGACGCAGCCAUGCCGCGUGAAUGAAGAAGGCCUUCGGGUUGUAAAGUUCUUUCGGUGAUGAGGAAGGGGUAUUAUUGAAUAGAUAAUAUCAUUGACGUUAAUUACAGAAGAAGCACCGGCUAACUCCGUGCCAGCAGCCGCAGUAAUACAGAGGGUGCGAGCGUUAAUCGGAAUAACUGGGCGUAAAGGGCACGCAGGCGGACUUUUAAGUGAGAUGUGAGAUCCCCGAGCUUAACUUGGGAACUGCAUUUCAGACUGGGAGUCUAGAGUACUUUAGGGAGGGGUAGAAUUCCACGUGUAGCGGUGAAAUG
This 583-nucleotide ribosomal RNA is filed under the name Pasteurella canis. RNAcentral's name for it is "bacterial SSU rRNA". It matches the Rfam family "Bacterial small subunit ribosomal RNA", at positions 109 to 688 of the family's 1533-position model. The record is from RNAcentral. Lineage: Bacteria; Pseudomonadati; Pseudomonadota; Gammaproteobacteria; Pasteurellales; Pasteurellaceae.